This 445-nucleotide ribosomal RNA is filed under the name uncultured bacterium. RNAcentral's name for it is "SSU rRNA". It matches the Rfam family "Bacterial small subunit ribosomal RNA", at positions 26 to 518 of the family's 1533-position model. The record is from RNAcentral.
AGGAUGAACGCUGGCGGCGUGCCUAACACAUGCAAGUCGAACGAAGCCUUCGGGUUUAGUGGCGCACGGGUGCGUAACGCGUGGGAAUCUGCCCCUUGGUUCGGAAUAACAGUUGGAAACGACUGCUAAUACCGGAUGACGACGUAAGUCCAAAGAUUUAUCGCCGAGGGAUGAGCCCGCGUAGGAUUAGGUAGUUGGUGUGGUAAAGGCGCACCAAGCCGACGAUCCUUAGCUGGUCUGAGAGGAUGAUCAGCCACACUGGGACUGAGACACGGCCCAGACUCCUACGGGAGGCAGCAGUGGGGAAUAUUGGACAAUGGGCGAAAGCCUGAUCCAGCAAUGCCGCGUGAGUGAUGAAGGCCUUAGGGUUGUAAAGCUCUUUACCCGGGAUGAUAAUGACAGUACCGGGAGAAUAAGCUCCGGCUAACUCCGUGCCAGCAGCCGC